GACGAACGCUGGCGGCGUGCCUAACACAUGCAAGUCGAGCGGAGUCAGUAAAAGGAAGUUUUCGGGUGGAAUUUGGGUAUUUUAGCGGCGGACGGGUGAGGAACGCGUGAGUGACUUGCCUUCCACAGGUGGAUAACGUACCGAAAGGUACACUAAUACCGCAUGAGACCACAGCACUGCCUGGUGCAGGGGUCAAAGGAGCAAUCCGGUGGAAGAUGGACUCGCGUCCGAGUAGAUAGUUGGUGGGGUAACGGCCUACCAAGUCAGCGAUCGGGAGCCGACCUGAGAGGGUGAUCGGCCACAUUGGAACUGAGAGACGGUCCAAACUCCUACGGGAGGCAGCAGUGGGGAAUAUUGGGCAAUGGGGGAAACCCUGACCCAGCGACGCCGCGUGAGGGAAGAAGGUUUUCGGAUUGUAAACCUCUGUUCUUGGUGAAGAGGGAAAGACGGUAGCCAAGGAGGAAGCCCCGGCUAACUACGUGCCAGCCGCCGCUGUAA
RNAcentral lists this ribosomal RNA (498 nucleotides) under uncultured bacterium. Its description in RNAcentral is "partial 16S ribosomal RNA". It matches the Rfam family "Bacterial small subunit ribosomal RNA", at positions 28 to 523 of the family's 1533-position model. The record is from RNAcentral.